CUCUGCAGAUGGGGACCAGGUAGCCAUUCUUACUGAAACUCCCAAGGUGACUGUACUGUGAAAUCAGGCCCGAGAAACACCAGUUCAGAUCAAGAUGCAGGUCUGAGGAUACAGACAGACCUGGAAGAGGAAAAGAAAUGGAGCAACGACAGAUGAAACACCACGCUGUUUGCUUGUUUGAAUGUGGAAUUCUGCCAUGGUGGACGCGAACCCAGAAUGUCACAUAAAUGGAACCAUAUCAUACACAGAAUUUGGACUCUGGCUUCAACAUUUGUAUACAGGUUUUUUAUGUGAACAUAAGUUUUCGUUUCUCUGGGAUAAAUGCCCGGGAGUACAAUUGCCAGGUUAAAUGAUUGUUGGUUAUUUGGGUUUUAAAGAAACCACUAAACUGUUUUCCAGAGAGGCUGCACUAUUUCACAUUCUCACUGGCUAUGUGGGAGUGAUGCAGCUUUGAUUUAUUUUUUUUAAAUUUCAGUGUUUAAACUGCUGAAAUUCACCAGGAGAUACACUCAGAGACUCACUAGGUUUGAAAUGUAUGGGCUGUUAAGAAUGUUUUACUUUUGGAGACUCCACUCCAAAACUGCUAGA
Long non-coding RNA from Neogale vison (American mink), 588 nucleotides. RefSeq lists it as uncharacterized. The record is from RefSeq and is a predicted model, not a curated record. The transcript has 3 exons. NCBI's taxonomy places the organism in Eukaryota, Metazoa, Chordata, Mammalia, Carnivora, Mustelidae.